RNAcentral lists this ribosomal RNA (540 nucleotides) under uncultured bacterium. Its description in RNAcentral is "bacterial SSU rRNA". It matches the Rfam family "Bacterial small subunit ribosomal RNA", at positions 356 to 896 of the family's 1533-position model. The record is from RNAcentral.
GAGGAAUAUUGGUCAAUGGGCGAGAGCCUGAACCAGCCAAGUCGCGUGAAGGAUGACUGUCUUAUGGAUUGUAAACUUCUUUUGUAGGGGAAUAAAGAACAGUACGUGUGCUGUAGUGAAUGUACCCUACGAAUAAGCAUCGGCUAACUCCGUGCCAGCAGCCGCGGUAAUACGGAGGAUGCGAGCGUUAUCCGGAUUUAUUGGGUUUAAAGGGUGCGUAGGCGGCCUGUUAAGUCAGCGGUGAAAUCUAGGAGCUUAACUCCUAAAUUGCCGUUGAUACUGGCGGGCUUGAGUGUAGAUGAGGUAGGCGGAAUGCGUGGUGUAGCGGUGGAAUGCAUAGAUAUCACGCAGAACUCCAAUUGCGAAGGCAGCUUACUAAGGUACAACUGACGCUGAAGCACGAAAGCGUGGGUAUCAAACAGGAUUAGAUACCCUGGUAGUCCACGCAGUAAACGAUGAUAACUGGGCGUAUGCGAUAUACAGUAUGCUCCUAAGCGAAAGCGUUAAGUUAUCCACCUGGGGAGUACGCCGGCAACGGUG